RNAcentral lists this ribosomal RNA (1031 nucleotides) under uncultured bacterium. RNAcentral describes it as "bacterial SSU rRNA". It matches the Rfam family "Bacterial small subunit ribosomal RNA", at positions 335 to 1394 of the family's 1533-position model. The record is from RNAcentral.
AUUCCUACGGGAGGCAGCAGUGAGGAAUCUUCCACAAUGGACGAAAGUCUGAUGGAGCAACUCCGCGUGCAGGAUGAAGGCCUUCGGGUCGUAAACUGCUUUUAUGAGUGAAGAAUAUGACGGUAACUCAUGAAUAAGGGUCGGCUAACUACGUGCCAGCAGCCGCGGUCAUACGUAGGACCCAAGCGUUAUCCGGAGUGACUGGGCGUAAAGAGUUGCGUAGGUGGUUUGUUAAGCGAAUAGUGAAAUCUGACGGCUCAACCGUACAGACUACUAAUUCGAACUGGCAAACUCGAGAAUGGUAGAGGUAACUGGAAUUUCUGAAGUAGGGGUAAUAUCCGUAGAUAUCAGAAGGAACACCAAUGGCGUAGGCAGGUUACUGGACCAUUUCUGACACUGAGGCACGAAAGCGUGGGGAGCGAACCGGAUUAGAUACCCGGGUAGUCCACGCCGUAAACGAUGGAUACUAGCUGUUGGAGGUAUCGACCCCUUCAGUAGCGAAGCUAACGCGUUAAGUAUCCCGCCUGUGGAGUACGGUCGCAAGACUAAAACAUAAAGGAAUUGACGGGGACCCGCACAAGCGGUGGAUUAUGUUCUUUAAUUCGAUGAUAAACGAAGAACCUUACCAGGGCUUGACAUCCUUGGAAUUACUACGAAAGUAGUGAGUGCUUUAUUGAGCCAAGUGACAGGUGUUGCAUGGCCGUCGUCAGCUCGUGUCGUGAGAUGUUUGGUUAAGUCCAUUAACGAGCGCAACCCUUGUGAUUAGUUGUAUUUUUCUAAUCAGACUGCCCCGGUAACGGGGAGGAAGGAGGGGAUGACGUCAGGUCAGUAUUACCCUUACGCCCUGGGCUAGAAACGUAAUACAAUGGCCGGUACAAUGCGCCGCGAAGCCGCGAGGUGGAGCAAAUCGCAUCAAAGCCGGUCCCAGUUCGGAUUGUAGGCUGAAACUCGCCUGCAUGAAGUCGGAAUCGCUAGUAAUCGCAGAUCAGCAAGCUGCGGUGAAUACGUUCCCGGGCCUUGUACACACCGCC